UUGAUGAUGAGCCCAUUUUCUUUGCUGAUCGCCAAUAUGCUGACAAAUGUCCCAGCCAAUCUGAGG
This 66-nucleotide small nucleolar RNA is filed under the name Euglena gracilis. Its description in RNAcentral is "Eg-m103 box C/D methylation-guide". The record is from RNAcentral. Lineage: Eukaryota; Euglenozoa; Euglenophyceae; Euglenales; Euglenaceae.